RNAcentral lists this ribosomal RNA (223 nucleotides) under Escherichia coli. RNAcentral describes it as "partial 23S ribosomal RNA". It matches the Rfam family "Bacterial large subunit ribosomal RNA", at positions 206 to 467 of the family's 2925-position model. The record is from RNAcentral. Lineage: Bacteria; Pseudomonadati; Pseudomonadota; Gammaproteobacteria; Enterobacterales; Enterobacteriaceae.
GUACCCCGAGGAAAAGAAAUCAACCGAGAUUCCCCCAGUAGCGGCGAGCGAACGGGGAGCAGCCCAGAGCCUGAAUCAGUGUGUGUGUUAGUGGAAGCGUCUGGAAAGGCGCGCGAUACAGGGUGACAGCCCCGUACACAAAAAUGCACAUAUUGUGAGCUCGAUGAGUAGGGCGGGACACGUGGUAUCCUGUCUGAAUAUGGGGGGACCAUCCUCCAAGGCU